Molecule: ribosomal RNA, 262 nt
Filed under: uncultured Clostridia bacterium
Lineage: Bacteria; Bacillati; Bacillota; Clostridia
Description: partial 16S ribosomal RNA
Rfam family: Bacterial small subunit ribosomal RNA
Source: RNAcentral
UUCAAUCGCCGGCGACCGGCGCACGGGUGAGUAACGCGUGAGCAACCUGCCUUUCACAGGGGGAUAACGCAUCGAAAGGUGCACUAAUACCGCAUGAGACCACGCUCCCGACAUGAGAGAGGGGUCAAAGGAGCAAUCCGGUGAGAGAUGGGCUCGCGUCUGAUUAGCUGGUUGGUGAGGUAACGGCCCACCAAGGCGACGAUCAGUAGCCGACCUGAGAGGGUGAUCGGCCACAUUGGAACUGAGAGACGGUCCAAACUCC